CAACGUAUCCAACGUAAACUAACGCGAACCCCCCUUUGGUCGUGGGGCCGUUGCAGGCAGCUGCUUCGGUCAAAAAGUUAAUUAGGCUGGCUGCUAAUGUGUGCUCUGUCGAUGGAGCCAUCUGGAAAGUCCAGAUGCCUGGAGCAUCAGUCUUGGCCCGGACCAAGUUCUUCGUGAACGUGUCCGAGCUUUGCCCACUCCAAAGUGUAUCUAACCAUCGGUUAUUGAAACCCUUUAUUAACCCUGUAAACUUUUGUACUGAACUUUGGUAGCGCUGCGGCAGUCCUUGUUGGCUUCGGUCACGGAUCGCGUUAACGCAGUGUUUACUAAUUUAUUACGUAAAUAAGAA
This 349-nucleotide unclassified non-coding RNA is filed under the name soil metagenome. Its description in RNAcentral is "partial internal transcribed spacer 1". The record is from RNAcentral.